This 103-nucleotide ribosomal RNA is filed under the name Paenibacillus soyae. RNAcentral's name for it is "partial 23S ribosomal RNA". It matches the Rfam family "Bacterial large subunit ribosomal RNA", at positions 2822 to 2925 of the family's 2925-position model. The record is from RNAcentral. Lineage: Bacteria; Bacillati; Bacillota; Bacilli; Caryophanales; Paenibacillaceae.
CAAUUAGUAAGACCCCUUGAAGACGACGAGGUUGAUAGGUUCGGGGUGGAAGCACGGCAACGUGUGGAGCUGACGAAUACUAAUCGGUCGAGGGCUUAUCCUA